RNAcentral lists this non-coding RNA (390 nucleotides) under Helianthus annuus (common sunflower). RNAcentral describes it as "Eukaryotic large subunit ribosomal RNA". It matches the Rfam family "Eukaryotic large subunit ribosomal RNA", at positions 3004 to 3401 of the family's 3401-position model. Lineage: Eukaryota; Viridiplantae; Streptophyta; Magnoliopsida; Asterales; Asteraceae. The record is from Rfam by way of RNAcentral.
ACAGUGUCACAAUAGUAAUUCAAACUAGUACGAGAGGAACCGCUGAUUCGCACAAUUGGUCAUUGUGCUUGGGCGAAAAACCAAUGGCACGAAGCUACCGUGCGUUGGAUUAUGACUGAACGCCUCUAAGUCAGAAUCUGGGCUAGAAGCGACGCCUGUGCCCGUCGCCUGUUUGCCGACCAGCAGUAGGGGCCUCGGCCCCCAAAAGCAUGUGUCGUAGACUAAGCGUGCAUGACGGAUGAGUCGUGCAGGCCGCCUUGAAGUACAAUUCCCAUCAAGCGAUGGGUAGAAUCCUUUGCAGACGGGUGACGGGAUAGAAUCCCCUAUCAACUUUCGACGGUAGGAUAGUGGCCUACUAUGGUGGUGACGGGUGACGGAGAUUUAGGGUUC